Molecule: non-coding RNA, 107 nt
Filed under: pig gut metagenome
Description: FMN riboswitch (RFN element)
Rfam family: FMN riboswitch aptamer (RFN element)
About the family: The RFN element is a highly conserved domain that is found frequently in the 5'-untranslated regions of prokaryotic mRNAs that encode for flavin mononucleotide (FMN) biosynthesis and transport proteins. This element is a metabolite-dependent riboswitch that directly binds FMN in the absence of proteins.
Source: RNAcentral
GUUUCGGGGCGGGGUGAAAUUCCCCACCGGCGGUGAAAGUCCGCGACCUGCAUUUGCAGCUGAAUCGGUGCAAUUCCGAUACCGACGGUAUAGUCCGGAUGAAAGAA